Molecule: ribosomal RNA, 492 nt
Filed under: uncultured bacterium
Lineage: Bacteria
Description: partial 16S ribosomal RNA
Rfam family: Bacterial small subunit ribosomal RNA
Source: RNAcentral
AGUGAACGCUGGCGGUAGGCCUAACACAUGCAAGUCGAACGGCAGCACAGUAAGAGCUUGCUCUUACGGGUGGCGAGUGGCGGACGGGUGAGGAAUACAUCGGAAUCUACUUUUUCGUGGGGGAUAACGUAGGGAAACUUACGCUAAUACCGCAUACGACCUACGGGUGAAAGCAGGGGAUCUUCGGACCUUGCGCGAUUGAAUGAGCCGAUGUCGGAUUGGCUAGUUGGCGGGGUAAAGGCCCACCAAGGCGACGAUCCGUAGCUGGUCUGAGAGGAUGAUCAGCCACACUGGAACUGAGACACGGUCCAGACUCCUACGGGAGGCAGCAGUGGGGAAUAUUGGACAAUGGGCGCAAGCCUGAUCCAGCCAUACCGCGUAGGUGAAGAAGGCCUUCGGGUUGUAAAGCCCUUUUGUUGGGAAAGAAAAGCAGCAGGUUAAUACCCCGCUGUUCUGACGGUACCCAAAGAAUAAGCACCGGCUAACUUCGUG